This 494-nucleotide ribosomal RNA is filed under the name uncultured bacterium. Its description in RNAcentral is "bacterial SSU rRNA". It matches the Rfam family "Bacterial small subunit ribosomal RNA", at positions 27 to 507 of the family's 1533-position model. The record is from RNAcentral.
CGGAUGAACGCUAGCGGCAGGCCUAACACAUGCAAGUCGAGGGGCAUCGCGGUGCAGCAAUGCACUGGCGGCGACCGGCGUACGGGUGCGUAACGCGUAUGCAACCUGCCCCGCACCGGGGGAUAGCCCGCCGAAAGGCGGAUUAAUACCCCAUGGUCCCGGGGGCCCGCAUGGGCAUCCGGGUAAAGCCUUGGCGGUGCGGGAUGGGCAUGCGUGCCAUUAGCUGGCUGGUGGGGUAACGGCCCACCAGGGCAACGAUGGCUAGGGGGUCUGAGAGGAUGGUCCCCCACACUGGUACUGAGACACGGACCAGACUCCUACGGGAGGCAGCAGUGAGGAAUAUUGGUCAAUGGGCGGAAGCCUGAACCAGCCAUGCCGCGUGCGGGAUGAAGGCCCUACGGGUUGUAAAGCUCUUUUGUCCGGAAAGAAAAGCGCCGGGUUAAUACCCUAGUGUCCUGACGGUACCGGAAGAAUAAGCACCGGCUAACUUCGUG